ACCGAUAGUGAACCAGUACCGUGAGGGAAAGGCGAAAAGAACCCCGGCGAGGGGAGUGAAAAAGAACCUGAAACCGUGUACGUACAAGCAGUAGGAGCCUCUUUAUGGGGUGACUGCGUACCUUUUGUAUAAUGGGUCAGCGACUUAUAUUCUGUAGCAAGGUUAACCGUAUAGGGGAGCCGUAGGGAAACCGAGUCUUAACUGGGCGAAUGAGUUGCAGGGUAUAGACCCGAAACCCGGUGAUCUAUCCAUGGGCAGGUUGAAGGUUG
RNAcentral lists this ribosomal RNA (269 nucleotides) under Proteus mirabilis. RNAcentral describes it as "partial 23S ribosomal RNA". It matches the Rfam family "Bacterial large subunit ribosomal RNA", at positions 483 to 754 of the family's 2925-position model. The record is from RNAcentral. Lineage: Bacteria; Pseudomonadati; Pseudomonadota; Gammaproteobacteria; Enterobacterales; Morganellaceae.